UUUUGAUGUGUCGAUUCAAGUAUGAGUGAAAAUUAAUAAUUUAUAUUGUUUGAUGUGUCAACAUCAUCUCUGCCUUUGGCCUGCAGGAUAUAUCGGUGAAUUUGAGUAUGUAGAUGAUCACAGAUCAGGAAAAAUUGUGGUUGAGCUGAAUGGAAGGUUGAACAAGUGUGGUGUCAUUAGUCCUCGUUUUGAUGUUGGUGUCAAAGAUAUUGAGCCCUGGACUGCUAGAUUGCUCCCCUCAAGACAGGUUGGCAUCCAAAACCCACUAUUUUUUUUAUAAAAAAAAAAAAAAUGAUCUUAAAAAUGAACUUGGCAAACUGCAAGGGGCCAAUCAUUAUUCUUUGAGUAUGAUUUCUUGGGGUGACUAAUGAGUGCUAUUUGCAGUUUGGAUAUAUUGUCUUGACAACUUCUGCUGGCAUCAUGGAUCAUGAAGAAGCUAGGAGAAAAAAUGUUGGUGGCAAAGUUCUUGGUUUCUUUUACUAGUCACAGUUUUUCCUAAUGACGGGU
Molecule: long non-coding RNA, 507 nt
Filed under: Vitis vinifera (wine grape)
Lineage: Eukaryota; Viridiplantae; Streptophyta; Magnoliopsida; Vitales; Vitaceae
Description: long non-coding RNA (VVIN_LNC002545)
Source: RNAcentral